CUACUCGGGUAUCUAAUUCUGUUCGCUACCUACGCUUUCGUCCAUCAGCGUCAAUAUAGUAUUAGUGAUCUGCCUUCGCAAUCGGUAUUCUGUGUAGUAUCUAUGCAUUUCACCGCUACACUACACAUUCUAACCACUUCAUACUAAUUCAAGAACUACAGUAUCAGUGGCCGUUCUACAGUUAAGCUGCAGACUUUCACCACCGACUUAUAAUCCCGCCUACGGACCCUUUAAACCCAAUGACUCCGGAUAACGCUUGGAGCCUCCGUAUUACGGCGGCUGCUGGCAC
RNAcentral lists this ribosomal RNA (289 nucleotides) under uncultured Zunongwangia sp. Its description in RNAcentral is "partial 16S ribosomal RNA". The record is from RNAcentral. Lineage: Bacteria; Pseudomonadati; Bacteroidota; Flavobacteriia; Flavobacteriales; Flavobacteriaceae.